AGCGUAGACGGUGUGGCAAGUCUGAUGUGAAAGGCAUGGGCUCAACCUGUGGACUGCAUUGGAAACUGUCAUACUGGAGUGCAGGAGAGGUAAGCGGAAUUCCUAGUGUAGCGGUGAAAUGCGUAGAUAUUAGGAGGAACAUCAGUGGCGAAGGCGGCUUACUGGACUGAAACUGACACUGAGGCACGAAAGCGUGGGGAGCAAACA
This 207-nucleotide ribosomal RNA is filed under the name uncultured bacterium. Its description in RNAcentral is "partial 16S ribosomal RNA". It matches the Rfam family "Bacterial small subunit ribosomal RNA", at positions 568 to 774 of the family's 1533-position model. The record is from RNAcentral.